RNAcentral lists this ribosomal RNA (427 nucleotides) under uncultured beta proteobacterium. RNAcentral describes it as "bacterial SSU rRNA". It matches the Rfam family "Bacterial small subunit ribosomal RNA", at positions 355 to 774 of the family's 1533-position model. The record is from RNAcentral. Lineage: Bacteria; Pseudomonadati; Pseudomonadota; Betaproteobacteria.
UGGGGAAUUUUGGACAAUGGGCGAAAGCCUGAUCCAGCCAUGCCGCGUGAGUGAAGAAGGCCUUCGGGUUGUAAAGCUCUUUUAGUCGGAAAGAAAGGGUCGCAAUGAAUAAUUGUGAUUUAUGACGGUACCGACAGAAAAAGCACCGGCUAACUACGUGCCAGCAGCCGCGGUAAUACGUAGGGUGCGAGCGUUAAUCGGAAUUACUGGGCGUAAAGGGUGCGCAGGCGGUCUUGCAAGUCAGAUGUGAAAGCCCCGGGCUUAACCUGGGAAUUGCGUUUGAAACUACAAGACUAGAGUGCAGCAGAGGGGAGUGGAAUUCCAUGUGUAGCAGUGAAAUGCGUAGAGAUGUGGAAGAACACCGAUGGCGAAGGCAGCUCCCUGGGUUGACACUGACGCUCAUGCACGAAAGCGUGGGGAGCAAACA